UUUAAUUUUAAGUUGAAAAUAUAAUAACAUCUUUCAUAUUUCAUUCUUGCAUUUACAUCAAUUAGAUCAGUGUUGCAAAUAACAAAAAAAAAUCUCCACUCAAGUUUACUCCAUCAAAAGAACAUGUUUUUCUACGUCUUUAUUACUUUAUUGGUUUCGACUUUGGUAUUUAACGAUCGAAAAUAUUAUGUUUUCUGUACCGACAAAAACGAAACAAUUAAUAAGCUUUUAGAAUCUCCAGGAUGGGACGAGAUUAGCGGCUUGGUUCGAUUCCCUGGUACAACAGGCAAUAACUCUUUCUCUAGGGAGAGACGUCGCUUGACCGAAAAAAAGAGUAGAAAAAGAGCACGGGAAUACAACAAGGCGCAUUCGACAGAUGAAGAAAAUGUACAAGCCAAUCAAAUGGAUCUUGUCAAAAACGAACAGUUUUCUAUUGAAUAUUUUGGUGAUUUAAUAAAUUCCUGGCAUAUAGUUGAAUCUGUGAUAAGACAAUUUCAAAAAAAUUGGUAUAUGUUUGACUACAUGUAUGAAGCGUGGCGGUUUUUAAAACGACUGGCUCCGCAAGAAUAUUUUGAAACGCAUUUACCCGCAUUAGUAGAUUUAGACAGCACUUGUUAUUUUAUAAAGAUAGAUCAGCUGACUUGAGACCAGUUCUGUCCGAUUACCUGGGGGAACACGAUUAUUGCUACAUAGAUAAAAUAAGCGAUUUACACAGGAGACUUAACCUACUUCUCAGUUCUACGCCUACCCAAUCGUUGGUUGAUUUGUUAAACAACUAUUGUAUUAUACCAGAGUACGAUAAACCGUGGAUCGUUGAAGAAAAAGAUGUAUACACAUAUUUUUAUGGAAAAAAAGGGAAUCGAUAUUAUCCUACGAAGGAAGACUUAUUUGAUGUCGUACAAAAAUUGGAGAUCAAAAUUGAUUUGCUUGUAAAUGAUGUGACUAAAAAUUACUUUACAGACUUGGGGUUCGUUUUUAAUUUCACGGACUAGAGACUACAACAAACAUACAGUUUUUUAAAAAAAAUUUAACUCAAUUUAGUGUUCAAUUGCAUUACAAAACACGUUAUAAAUAUUUGUUAUACUUUAAUCUCAAAAUACAAAAUUAUAAUUAUCCAUAGUUCUGUAGUAUCAUAUUAUAAAAUAUAUAUUUAAUAAAAAAAGUUAAUA
This is a long non-coding RNA of Adelges cooleyi (spruce gall adelgid), 1169 nucleotides long. RefSeq lists it as uncharacterized. The transcript is spliced from 2 exons. The record is from RefSeq and is a predicted model, not a curated record. NCBI's taxonomy places the organism in Eukaryota, Metazoa, Arthropoda, Insecta, Hemiptera, Adelgidae.